UACGAAGGGGGCUAGCGUUGCCCGGAAUCACUGGGCGUAAAGCGCACGUAGGCGGCUCUUUAAGUCAGGGGUGAAAUCCUGGAGCUCAACUCCAGAACUGCCCUUGAUACUGAGGAGCUUGAGUCCGGGAGAGGUGAGUGGAACUGCGAGUGUAGAGGUGAAAUUCGUAGAUAUUCGCAAGAACACCAGUGGCGAAGGCGGUUCUCUGGGCCUGUACUGACGCUGAGGAGCGAAAGCGUGGGGAGCGAACAGG
This 253-nucleotide ribosomal RNA is filed under the name uncultured bacterium. Its description in RNAcentral is "partial 16S ribosomal RNA". It matches the Rfam family "Bacterial small subunit ribosomal RNA", at positions 524 to 776 of the family's 1533-position model. The record is from RNAcentral.